RNAcentral lists this ribosomal RNA (493 nucleotides) under uncultured bacterium. RNAcentral's name for it is "partial 16S ribosomal RNA". It matches the Rfam family "Bacterial small subunit ribosomal RNA", at positions 29 to 523 of the family's 1533-position model. The record is from RNAcentral.
AUUGAACGCUGGCGGCAUGCUUUACACAUGCAAGUCGAACGGUAACAGGUUAAGCUGACGAGUGGCGAACGGGUGAGUAAUGCAUCGGAACGUGCCCGAUCGUGGGGGAUAACGCAGCGAAAGCUGCGCUAAUACCGCAUCCGAUCUGAGGAUGAAAGCGGGGGACCGUAAGGCCUCGCGCGAUCGGAGCGGCCGAUGUCAGAUUAGGUAGUUGGUGGGGUAAAGGCUCACCAAGCCAACGAUCUGUAGCUGGUCUGAGAGGGCGACCAGCCACACUGGGACUGAGACACGGCCCAGAAUCCUACGGGAGGCAGCAGUGGGGAAUUUUGCACAAUGGGCGAAAGCCUGAUCCAGCAAUGCCGCGUGCAGGAAGAAGGCCUUCGGGUUGUAAACUGCUUUUGUACGGGGCGAAAAGGCUCUCUCUAAUACAGGGGGCUCAUGACGGUACCGUAAGAAUAAGCACCGGCUAACUACGUGCCAGCAGCCGCGGUAA